RNAcentral lists this long non-coding RNA (395 nucleotides) under Nicotiana benthamiana. RNAcentral's name for it is "long non-coding RNA (NBEN_LNC002229)". The record is from RNAcentral. Lineage: Eukaryota; Viridiplantae; Streptophyta; Magnoliopsida; Solanales; Solanaceae.
AAAAAGGGGCAGCAAAAAGUAAAUCAAAUUUGACUGCGUCGGAGUUGUUCUCAUCGACUAUGUAAGGGUGUUGAAGAGAUGUAAAUCCAGAUUACACAACUACGCUUGAACUACAGUAAGUAGGUUCUAACGAAUUGCUAUGAACGUUAAACUCUCUUGAGAAAGUGCUCUCAGGAUAUUCCCCUUGUUCAGUUAUACUGCUUUCUAGAAGCGCACAAACUGAGAGGCAUGCAGUAGGGUUUCCACAGCUGUAGCGGCUAGCUGAGUGCCAAAGGCAACAUCAUAUGUAUCAAGUGCGUCAGAUCGAUUUCCUUCAAUUUGAUGCUCAAAUUCCCCCACAUGAAACUGCUCAUGUGAGACAAGAGGGGUUGCUCUAUGGUAAGCAACCCCACUUC